AACGAACGCUGGCGGCAUGCCUAACACAUGCAAGUCGAACGAGACCUUCGGGUUUAGUGGCGCACGGGUGCGUAACGCGUGGGAACCUGCCCUUAGGUUCGGAAUAACUCCCCGAAAGGGGUGCUAAUACCGGAUAAUGUCUUCGGACCAAAGAUUUAUCGCCUUUGUGUGGGCCCGCGUUGGAUUAGCUAGUUGGUAGGGUAAAAGCCUACCAAGGCGACGAUCCAUAGCUGGUCUGAGAGGAUGAGCAGCCACACUGGGACUGAGACACGGCCCAGACUCCUACGGGAGGCAGCAGUGGGGAAUAUUGGACAAUGGGCGAAAGCCUGAUCCAGCAAUGCCGCGUGAGUGAUGAAGGCCUUAGGGUUGUAAAGCUCUUUUAACCGGGAUGAUAAUGACAGUACCGGGAGAAUAAGCGCCGGCUAACUCCGUG
Molecule: ribosomal RNA, 433 nt
Filed under: uncultured bacterium
Lineage: Bacteria
Description: partial 16S ribosomal RNA
Rfam family: Bacterial small subunit ribosomal RNA
Source: RNAcentral